Novosphingobium sp. AAP1 is the source of this 74-nucleotide small RNA. It matches the Rfam family "Makes More Granules Regulator RNA (mmgR)". From Rfam's summary of the family: SuhB later renamed mmgR (makes more granules regulator) was a putative non-coding RNA found multiple times in the Agrobacterium tumefaciens genome and related alpha-proteobacteria. Other non-coding RNAs uncovered in the same analysis include: speF, ybhL, metA, and serC. The record is from Rfam. NCBI's taxonomy places the organism in Bacteria, Pseudomonadati, Pseudomonadota, Alphaproteobacteria, Sphingomonadales, Sphingomonadaceae.
AGAGCGGGCCUUUCAGGCAUCCUCUCCCAAACUUUCCAAGGCCGGUCGCAAGAUCGGCCUUUUUUUUGCCCGCU